UACGUAGGGUGCUAGCGUUGUCCGGAAUCAUUGGGCGUAAAGCGCGUGUAGGCGGUCCGGUAAGUCCGCUGUGAAAGUCGGGGGCUCAACCCUCGGAUGCCGGUGGAUACUGUCGGGCUCGAGUAUGGAAGAGGCGAGUGGAAUUCCUGGUGUAGCGGUGAAAUGCGCAGAUAUCAGGAGGAACACCAAUUGCGAAGGCAGCUCGCUGGGACGUUACUGACGCUGAGACGCGAAAGCGUGGGGAGCAAACAGG
Molecule: ribosomal RNA, 253 nt
Filed under: uncultured bacterium
Lineage: Bacteria
Description: partial 16S ribosomal RNA
Rfam family: Bacterial small subunit ribosomal RNA
Source: RNAcentral